CUACGGGGGGCUCCAGUGGGGAAUAUUGGACAAUGGGGGCAACCCUGAUCCAGCGAUGCCGUGUGUGUGAAGAAGGCCUGCGGGUUGUAAAGCACUUUAGUUGGGGAGGAAGGUUGUUAGUUUAAGAGAUAAACGACUUGACGUUACCCAAAGAAUAAGCACCGGCAAACUCUGUGCCAGCAGCCGCGGUAAUACAGAGGGUGCAAGCGUUAAUCGGAAUAACUGGGCGUAAAGGGCGCGUAGGCGGGUAUAUAAGUUAGAUGUGAAAGGCCUGGGCUUAACCUAGGUUGGUCAUUUAAUACUGGAUAUCUAGAGUGAAGUAGAGGGCAGUAGAAUUCCCGGAGUAGCGGUGAAAUGCGUAGAUAUCGGGAGGAAUACCGGUGGCGAAGGCGACUGUCUGGACUUCAACUGACGCUGAGGCGCGAAAGCGUGGGGAGCAAACAGGAUUAGAUACCCUUGUAGUC
RNAcentral lists this ribosomal RNA (464 nucleotides) under uncultured bacterium. RNAcentral's name for it is "partial 16S ribosomal RNA". It matches the Rfam family "Bacterial small subunit ribosomal RNA", at positions 339 to 795 of the family's 1533-position model. The record is from RNAcentral.